GACGAACGCUGGCGGCGUGCUUAACACAUGCAAGUCGAACGGAAAGGCCCUGCUUUUGUGGGGUGCUCGAGUGGCGAACGGGUGAGUAACACGUGAGUAACCUGCCCUUGACUUUGGGAUAACUUCAGGAAACUGGGGCUAAUACCGGAUAGGAGCUCCUGCUGCAUGGUGGGGGUUGGAAAGUUUCGGCGGUUGGGGAUGGACUCGCGGCUUAUCAGCUUGUUGGUGGGGUAGUGGCUUACCAAGGCUUUGACGGGUAGCCGGCCUGGGAGGGUGCCCGGCCACAUUGGGCUUGAUAUGCGGCCCACACUCCUGCGGGGGGCAGCGGGGGGAAAUAUUGCACAAUGGGCGGAGGCCUGAGGCAGCAGCCCCGCGGGCGGGAUGGGGGCCUUCGGUUUGUAAACCGCUUUCGCCUGUGAGGAAGCGGGAGUGAGGGGAAGGGAUAAAGAAGCGCCGCCUAACUACGUG
Molecule: ribosomal RNA, 468 nt
Filed under: uncultured bacterium
Lineage: Bacteria
Description: partial 16S ribosomal RNA
Rfam family: Bacterial small subunit ribosomal RNA
Source: RNAcentral